GAUGAACGCUGGCGGCGUGCCUAAUACAUGCAAGUCGAGCGAACAGACGAGGAGCUUGCUCCUCUGACGUUAGCGGCGGACGGGUGAGUAACACGUGUAUAACCUACCUAUAAUACUGGUAUAACUUCGGGAAACCGGAUCUAAUACCGUAUAAUAUAUUGAACCGCAUUGUUCAAUAGUGAAAGACGGUUUUGCUGUCUCUUAUAGAUGCAUCUGCGCCGCAUUAGCUAGUUGGUAAGGUAACGGCUUACCAAGGCAACGAUGCGUAGCCGACGUGAGAGAGUGAUCGGCCACACUGGAGCUGGGACACGGUCAAGGCUACUACGGGAGGCAGCAGUAGGGAAUCUUCCGCAAUGGGCGAAAACCUGACGGAGCAACGCCGAGUGAGAGAUAGCAGUCUUCGGAUCGUAAAACUCUGUUAUUAGGGAAGAACAAAUGUGUAAGUAACUAUGCACGUCUUGACGGUACCUAAUCAGAAAGCAACGGCUAGCUACGUG
Molecule: ribosomal RNA, 497 nt
Filed under: uncultured bacterium
Lineage: Bacteria
Description: partial 16S ribosomal RNA
Rfam family: Bacterial small subunit ribosomal RNA
Source: RNAcentral